Molecule: ribosomal RNA, 447 nt
Filed under: uncultured bacterium
Lineage: Bacteria
Description: partial 16S ribosomal RNA
Rfam family: Bacterial small subunit ribosomal RNA
Source: RNAcentral
GGCCAGACUCCUACGGGAGGCAGCAGUGGGGGAUAUUGCACAAUGGGGGGAACCCUGAUGCAGCGACGCCGCGUGGGUGAAGAAGCGCCUCGGCGCGUAAAGCCCUGUCAGCAGGGAAGAAAAUGACGGUACCUGACUAAGAAGCCCCGGCUAACUACGUGCCAGCAGCCGCGGUAAUACGUAGGGGGCAAGCGUUAUCCGGAAUUACUGGGUGUAAAGGGAGCGCAGACGGCAGUGCAAGUCUGGAGUGAAAGCCCGUGGCUUAACCACGGGACUGCUCUGGAAACUGCGGCGCUGGAGUACGGGAGGGGCAGGCGGAAUUCCUGGUGUAGCGGUGAAAUGCGUAGAUAUCAGGAGGAACACCGGCGGCGAAGGCGGCCUGCUGGACCGUGACUGACGUUGAGGCUCGAGAGCGUGGGGAGCAAACAGGAUUAGAUACCCGGGUAC